This 158-nucleotide ribosomal RNA is filed under the name uncultured Phialophora. RNAcentral describes it as "5.8S ribosomal RNA". It matches the Rfam family "5.8S ribosomal RNA". From Rfam's summary of the family: 5.8S ribosomal RNA (5.8S rRNA) is a component of the large subunit of the eukaryotic ribosome. It is transcribed by RNA polymerase I as part of the 45S precursor that also contains 18S and 28S rRNA. RNAcentral also lists the same sequence under 3 other names. The record is from RNAcentral. Lineage: Eukaryota; Fungi; Ascomycota; Leotiomycetes.
AAAAUUUCAACAAAGGAUAUCUUGGGUUUGGCACCGAUGAAAAACGCACAGAAAAACGAUAAAUAAUAUGAAAUUCAGAAAUCACUGAAUCAUCGAAUCUUUGAACGCACACUGCGCCCCCUGGUAUUCCGCAGGGCACGCCCGUUCGAGCGUCAGUA